Molecule: ribosomal RNA, 253 nt
Filed under: uncultured bacterium
Lineage: Bacteria
Description: partial 16S ribosomal RNA
Rfam family: Bacterial small subunit ribosomal RNA
Source: RNAcentral
UACGAGUGCCCCGAGCGUUAUCCGGAAUCAUUGGGCGUAAAGGGUGUGUAGGUGGUCAGAUUAGUCUUGUGUUAAAUUCUUCGGCUUAACCGGGGGCAUGCAUAGGAAACGGUCUGACUUGAGGGUGCGAGGGGUCUGUGGAACUCAUGGUGUAGGGGUGAAAUCCGUUGAUAUCAUGGGGAACACCAAAAGCGAAGGCAGCAGACUGGCGCAUUCCUGACACUGAAACACUAAAGCGUGGGUAGCGAAUGGG